GAUGAACGCUGACAGAAUGCUUAACACAUGCAAGUCGAUUCGAUUUACCUUCGGGUAUUGAGGAUGGCGGACGGGUGAGUAACGCGUAAGGAACUUGCCUCUUGGUCUGGGACAACUGUUGGAAACGACAGCUAAUACCGGAUAUUAUGAGAUUCUCGCAUGGGAAACUUAUGAAAGCUAUAUGCGCCAAGAGAGAGCCUUGCGUUCCGUUAGCUAGUUGGUGGGGUAACGGCCCACCAAGGCGACGAUGGAUAGCCGGCCUGAGAGGGUGAACGGCCACAAGGGGACUGAGACACGGCCCUUACUCCUACGGGAGGCAGCAGUGGGGAAUAUUGGACAAUGGGCCACAAGCCUGAUCCAGCAAUUCUGUGUGCACGAUGAAGGUCUUCGGAUUGUAAAGUGCUUUCAGUUGGGAAGAAGAAAGUGACGGUACCAACAGAAGAAGCGACGGCUAAAUACGUGCCAGCCGCCGCAGUAA
Molecule: ribosomal RNA, 478 nt
Filed under: uncultured bacterium
Lineage: Bacteria
Description: partial 16S ribosomal RNA
Rfam family: Bacterial small subunit ribosomal RNA
Source: RNAcentral